This 694-nucleotide ribosomal RNA is filed under the name uncultured bacterium. Its description in RNAcentral is "bacterial SSU rRNA". It matches the Rfam family "Bacterial small subunit ribosomal RNA", at positions 51 to 741 of the family's 1533-position model. The record is from RNAcentral.
ACACAUGCAAGUCGAGCGGUAACAUUUCUAGCUUGCUAGAAGAUGACGAGCGGCGGACGGGUGAGUAAUGCUUGGGAAUAUGCCUUAGGAUGGGGGACAACAGCUGGAAACGACUGCUAAUACCGCAUAACGUCUACGGACCAAAGGGGGCUUCGGCUCUCGCCCUUAGAUUAGCCCAAGUGGGAUUAGCUAGUUGGUGAGGUAAUGGCUCACCAAGGCGACGAUCCCUAGCUGGUUUGAGAGGAUGAUCAGCCACACUGGAACUGAGACACGGUCCAGACUCCUACGGGAGGCAGCAGUGGGGAAUAUUGCACAAUGGGCGCAAGCCUGAUGCAGCCAUGCCGCGUGUGUGAAGAAGGCCUUAGGGUUGUAAAGCACUUUCAGUAAGGAGGAAAGGUUAGUAGUUAAUACCUGCUAGCUGUGACGUUACUUACAGAAGAAGCACCGGCUAACUCCGUGCCAGCAGCCGCGGUAAUACGGAGGGUGCGAGCGUUAAUCGGAAUUACUGGGCGUAAAGCGUACGCAGGCGGUUUGUUAAGCGAGAUGUGAAAGCCCCGGGCUCAACCUGGGAACUGCAUUUCGAACUGGCAAACUAGAGUAUGAUAGAGGGUGGUAGAAUUUCAGGUGUAGCGGUGAAAUGCGUAGAUAUCUGGAGGAACAUCAGUGGCGAAGGGCGACUCCCUGGCCAAAGACU